Molecule: ribosomal RNA, 253 nt
Filed under: uncultured bacterium
Lineage: Bacteria
Description: partial 16S ribosomal RNA
Rfam family: Bacterial small subunit ribosomal RNA
Source: RNAcentral
GACAGAGGGUGCAAACGUUGUUCGGAAUUACUGGGCGUAAAGCGUGUGUAGGCGGCCAGAUAAGUUGGAUGUGAAAGCCCGGGGCUCAACCCCGGAAGUGCACUCAAUACUGUCUGGCUUGAGUAUCGGAGAGGUUGGUGGAAUUCUCGGUGUAGAGGUGAAAUUCGUAGAUAUCGAGAGGAACACCGGUGGCGAAGGCGGCCAACUGGACGAAUACUGACGCUGAGACACGAAAGCGUGGGGAGCAAACAGG